UAAAAGUUGUAUAGUUUGAAAUACAUGCAAUUGAAAAUGAUUAUAGUUUUAUAUUUUUUAUUUAGUUGAAUGUAGUAGAAAGUACUGUAGAUAUAAAUAUUUUAUUUGGCUACAUAUUGUUGAGAAGUAAAUUUAUAAAUUUCUAGCAUUUUACAUAUGGAGUGGUGAGAUUACUUCCUAUGUACAAAGAUAAAAAAAAAAUUUAUAAAAAAGAUUAUUAGGAAGGUAAGUUUAUCUUUAUUUAAAAUUACUUUCUCCAAGUGCUGCAGUCUAACAGCAGCAAAUUUAGGCGUAGUUCUAAUUACUGUAGUUGAGCCUUCUCGUGCAGUUGCAAUUGCAGCAGUCGAACACAAAUGUAUAAAAGUAAAUACCAAACUUGAAUCUGCAUACAGUUACAACUACAGUACAUACAACUAAACAGUCCUUUAAAGUUUUUACGAUUGAGUUUAAUAUUUUCUAAUGCUUUAAAUUUAUUUGAAAUAAUAGUAAGAUGACCCAGGCUCUAGGGGACAUUUUUUGUUCUUGUAAUUUCUUUAAAGGCUAAAAUAUAGAAAACCCUUCUUCUGUAAAUAUUCAUUUUUUUUCACUUUUACUCUAUGACUUUAAAAAAUUUAUAUUUUACCUUCUUAAAAAUUUAGAAAUAUUUUCAAAAAGUUAUGAUUUUUAAAAUCACUUUAUUAUCCUUACUUAUUUUAUUAAAAAAAUAAUUUUUUAAUAUAUUUAUGUCUUUUUAAGGGCGUCUUUGGUAUAAUUUAUAAAAAAAUGACAGAAUCUUGACGGAGAGUGGCUAAAUAUAAUCAACUGGAAAUUUUGGAGAGAUAAAAUAUAAAUUCUUAAAAAUAAAAAAAAAGUAGAAAAAAAGUAUUUAUCUGGGGAUUUUAUGUAUUUUAGACUUUUUUUUUAACUAUAAUGUUUUUUUUCAAAACCUAUUUGUUGAAAAAUAUUUGGGUUAAUUAUAUACAGGUCCCCGUAAAUAUAGUGAAUUACAAAGAUAUCCCUAUAAAGUUCAGCUUUCAUAAGUUAAUCCUACAAAAGUCCUAAUAUUUUCAAAUAUGUCCCUCUGUUUUGUUACUGUUGGAAAACUGUUUAUAUUUUCAAUUUUGCCAUUACAAAUAUGUCCCUCCAAAAGUUAUAACAAUAUAAAUAAAAGGGGUAAAAAUGUUAAAAAUUAGCCUUGAUAAAAUAUUAACCUACGUUAACUAAACGUUUCUAACGGAUUCUAACGACAGGGACAUAUCUGAAAAUAUUAGGAAUUUUAUAGGAAUAACUUAUGAAAGUUGAACUUUAUAGGGAUAUAUUUGUAAUUUGCUAUAUUUACGGGAAGUAUGCAAUUAAUCCAAAAUAUUUUUACAGAU
RNAcentral lists this long non-coding RNA (1355 nucleotides) under Ananas comosus (pineapple). RNAcentral's name for it is "long non-coding RNA (ACOM_LNC035528)". The record is from RNAcentral. Lineage: Eukaryota; Viridiplantae; Streptophyta; Magnoliopsida; Poales; Bromeliaceae.